This 29-nucleotide non-coding RNA is filed under the name Mus musculus (house mouse). The record is from RNAcentral. Lineage: Eukaryota; Metazoa; Chordata; Mammalia; Rodentia; Muridae.
UAGGAAAAACAAAUUUCUUCUUUGGCCUA